UUAGAAAAAAAAAAAAAAAAAACAAUCCGUUCUUGUUGACCCUUCAAUUUUAGGUUGUUCAUGAGGUUGAUUUUGAGAUAUUGAGUUAUUUUGCAGGCACGAAUUACAUGGCAUUGAGCAUGAGAGCGAAUCGUCUUAAUAUCAUGUGGAUAUUAUAAUUUAAUCUAUUAGAAUUCACCGUUGUAUUAAUUAGAAAGUUGUGAUAGUUAUUAGUUGGUUUUAGCCUGUGCGUUUGAGUAUAAGUGAGAUACUCAAGCGUGGCAUAACGCCCCUUUUUCUUUUGUUAGUAGUUGAAGUCUUCCGCUGUUGUAUAGUUGAAUUGUAAAUAAAUAAAUAAAAAAUUUACCCGUA
Ipomoea triloba (trilobed morning glory) is the source of this 351-nucleotide long non-coding RNA. RefSeq lists it as uncharacterized. The record is from RefSeq and is a predicted model, not a curated record. Lineage: Eukaryota; Viridiplantae; Streptophyta; Magnoliopsida; Solanales; Convolvulaceae. The transcript has 2 exons.